UACGGGGGGAGCAAGCGUUGUUCGGAUUUACUGGGCGUAAAGGGCGCGUAGGCGGUCAGCACAAGUCAGUUGUGAAAUCUCCGGGCUUAACUCGGAAAGGUCAACUGAUACUGUGCGACUAGAGUGCAGAAGGGCAACUGGAAUUCUCGGUGUAGCGGUGAAAUGCGUAGAUAUCGAGAGGAACACCUGCGGCGAAGGCGGGUUGCUGGGCUGACACUGACGCUGAGGCGCGAAAGCCAGGGAGCGAACGGG
RNAcentral lists this ribosomal RNA (252 nucleotides) under uncultured bacterium. Its description in RNAcentral is "partial 16S ribosomal RNA". It matches the Rfam family "Bacterial small subunit ribosomal RNA", at positions 524 to 776 of the family's 1533-position model. The record is from RNAcentral.